This 81-nucleotide microRNA precursor is filed under the name Astyanax mexicanus (Mexican tetra). Its description in RNAcentral is "mir-17 microRNA precursor family". It matches the Rfam family "mir-17 microRNA precursor family". Rfam says of the family: This family represents the microRNA (miRNA) precursor mir-17, family, which includes mir-20, mir-91, and mir-103. miRNAs are transcribed as ~70nt precursors (modelled here) and subsequently processed by the Dicer enzyme to give a ~22nt product. In this case the mature sequence comes from the 3' arm of the precursor. The extents of the hairpin precursors are not generally known and are estimated based on hairpin prediction. Lineage: Eukaryota; Metazoa; Chordata; Actinopteri; Characiformes; Acestrorhamphidae. The record is from Rfam by way of RNAcentral.
CCAGCAGUAUUAAAGUGCUUAUAGUGCAGGUAGUUUACUUUAAUGCUUCUACUGCAGUGUGAGCACUUGAAGUACUUCUAG